GCUGGAGUAGUUCAGUUGGUUAGAGCGUGUGGUUGUUAAUCACAAGGUCGAAGGUUCAAGUCUUUCCUUUAGCG
Molecule: transfer RNA, 74 nt
Organism: Ipomoea nil (Japanese morning glory)
Lineage: Eukaryota; Viridiplantae; Streptophyta; Magnoliopsida; Solanales; Convolvulaceae
Rfam family: tRNA
About the family: Transfer RNA (tRNA) molecules are approximately 80 nucleotides in length. Their secondary structure includes four short double-helical elements and three loops (D, anti-codon, and T loops).
Source: Rfam